AACCUCCGCAAUGUGAGAAAUCGCGACGGGGGGAUCCCAAGUGCCAUUCUUAACGGGAUGGCUUUUCUUAAGUGUAAAAAGCUUUUGGAAUAAGAGCUGGGCAAGACCGGUGCCAGCCGCCGCGGUAACACCGGCAGCUCUAGUGGUAGCUGUUUUUAUUGGGCCUAAAGCGUUCGUAGCCGGUUUGAUAAGUCACUGGUGAAAUCUUGUAGCUUAACUGUGAGAAUUGCUGGUGAUACUGUUGAACUUGAGGUCGGGAGAGGUUAGCGGUACUCCCAGGGUAGAGGUGAAAUUCUGUAAUCCUGGGAGGACCGCCUGUUGCGAAGGCGUCUAACUGGAACGGUUCUGACGGUGAGGGACGAAAGUUAGGGCGCGAACCGGAUUAGAUACCCGGGUAGUCCUAACUGUAAACGAUGCGGACUUGGUGUUGGGGUGGCUUUGAGCUGCUCCAGUGCCGAAGGGAGCUGUUAAGUCCGCCGCCUGGGAAGUACGGUCGCAAGACUGAAACUUAAAGGAAUU
RNAcentral lists this ribosomal RNA (519 nucleotides) under uncultured bacterium. RNAcentral's name for it is "bacterial SSU rRNA". It matches the Rfam family "Archaeal small subunit ribosomal RNA", at positions 345 to 866 of the family's 1478-position model. The record is from RNAcentral.